UACAGAGGUCCCAAGCGUUGUUCGGAUUCACUGGGCGUAAAGGGUGUGUAGGCGGUUUUUUAAGUUUGGGGGGAAAUCUCCCGGCUCAACUGGGAGGGUGCGCCGAAUACUGAAAGACUAGAGUGCGGGAGAGGAAAGUGGAAUUCCUGGUGUAGCGGUGAAAUGCGUAGAUAUCAGGAGGAACACCGGUGGUGUAGACGGCUUUCUGGACCGUAACUGACGCUGAGACACGAAAGCGUGGGUAGCAAACAGG
Molecule: ribosomal RNA, 253 nt
Filed under: uncultured bacterium
Lineage: Bacteria
Description: partial 16S ribosomal RNA
Rfam family: Bacterial small subunit ribosomal RNA
Source: RNAcentral